RNAcentral lists this long non-coding RNA (2997 nucleotides) under Scophthalmus maximus (turbot). RNAcentral's name for it is "lncRNA (ENSSMAG00000036633.1)". Lineage: Eukaryota; Metazoa; Chordata; Actinopteri; Pleuronectiformes; Scophthalmidae. The record is from RNAcentral.
GUUUAAAACAAACGAUGAUGUUUAAGAAACACCGCACUUGAUGCGUUUGAAAGGGAGAGCAGAAAAAGAGUCACACUGCUCUGCACUGCAGCAGCAGACAUGGGACCUUAAAGAAAAUACAAAGAAUACCUACUGGAUGAGUCCAGCCACCCUUCAAAGGCAACCAAAUACAGACGGAUAGCAAAUGAAAAAGAGCAGCAUACAUCAAGUGUAGAGGAAAUUACAAGAAACACCUGAGUUGUGCAUCCUGUAAGGCAAACCCAAAGCAAAGAAAGGUCUUUAAUGAGGUACGUUUGCUUUAACAUUAAUUCUUUAACAGUUACAAUAUGUACUAUGGAUGUUUUACAGUUUAACAUUGUAACUGCAUUCCUUAGAUUCCACUCUCACUUUUGUACUGGUGAACAAAAGUCUUCUCUGGAGUGAUACUCCAGAUUGAUACUGGCAAGUAUCAUACAGAAAAUUCCAGAUUAAGACAUAACUACAGAGGAUGCAAGCGGUCAGUCGUCUGAGAAUGGAUAAAAAGAAAGCAACUUGUCCAUACAGAAGAAGAGAAGCAGCAGGACCCCCCAAAUAAAAAUCCACCUGAAGUAAUGUGUAGAUUCAUUGUUCAUUAUUGAUUGUUGUGUUAAACUGGAUAAAUAGCUGUGUCAUCCUUAUCAUUCCAAUUAGAUUAGAUGAGGUGAAAAUAUUUAUGAAUUUGACACUUGACAAUUUGAUGAGGAUUGUUCUUGCCCCUAAAAGAAGUGUCUUGUGAAUAUGAGAUCGACAAAUUACUGUUUGUAUUUCUCUUGACAAUAUCUAUAUAUUGUAUCUUAAUUAUGCAAUCUAUGCAGCCAGCCAGAGAGGGAUCCUGUAGACAGUCGAUGAUGGGAUGGCCACCUACAGCAUACCCACACAGCAGUGCUACUCAGACAACUGAGGAUCAAGAAUAUGUCCAACUCCAAACAGAAGUUCAGGAAAUUUCCAAGAAUCAACCAGAAUGCAACAUGUCUGUUACAACAUUGGCCACCAUGAGGCGCCAAAAGAAAAGGUUGUUAGCAUUUAGUAUUGUAUCUUUUCCGUUUAAUUACACAAACAAACUUUUAAUGCAGGUGAACUGUUUACAAUUAUUAUCAUAAAAUAAUAAUAAUGUCUUCACAGGUAGACCCUUUGUUUUUGGAUGGAGAUGACAAAGGGACAAAGUGUACUCUUGCUGAUGUCUUUUGUGUUAUGGCAUAAUCUGACGGGGGUAUCAGUGUAACAUCUACUCAAGAUUUUUGAGGAGCAUUCCCCUGGCAUGGUACCAGUAACCACAUAUCUCUUUCACAAAGCUUAUGGACAACAUGGAAUCUAUGAACCACAUUUUUACUAUCCAGCAUGUGGAAACUACUUGGGGAGAAAUAAUACAAUUGAGUUACAGUGUGGGGCUUGUUGUACAGUAACUGAUUCAGAGAACUGUUUUAAAAGUGGUUGUUUUUUCCUAGUGCGUAAUUUGGCUUCACAAAUCAAAACAUUGCUUGAACAAAAACAAGCAACUUUUUAAAAAAAAAUGUCUGUCUGCAGAUGCUAUUUCAGAUAUACAGUGUGGAGAAGAGUACUUCAAACUAAAAGGAUCUGGAGAACUGGGUGAGGAUGACUUAUCUUUAAUUUGGAACUGUGUUAAGGAGCUCAAAGUAUCAAAUCUGGCCCAUACAAUGCCAAGUUGUAGAACUCUAAAGAACGCAUGGCAAUUAUCUGUCUUCCAUGUCUCUGGUUUGGCGAGAAGAAGCCAAACUAGUUACCAUUUUUCAAGCCAUUUGUAGAUGAGCUGUUAGUUCUGGAAAAAGAUGGCAUAAAAUGGAAAGACUCUGCAAAUGUAGAGCAUAUCUCCAAUGUGUGUGCUCUUAUAUGCAGUUCAGAUUCAGUUGCCCAUCAACUUCUCAGAAACACCAAACAAUUUAAUGGCUUUUAUGGAUGUGAUUUCUGUUACAAUGUUGGAGGUGGUCCUUACACAAACAAAGCACCAAAGCCACAUCUCAGAACUGAAGCUGAGCACUUUGAUCAUGCAAUGGCUGCAACAGCUGAGAAUCCUGUAAUGGGUGUAAAAGGGCCGUAACAGUUAAUGAAACUGAAAAAGUUUCAAAUGAUAAAUGGAUUUGUUCCAGAGUAUCAGCACAGUGUCUGCCUUGGUGUGACAAGACAACUAGCUAAACUGUGGUUAGACUCAACGAACCAUGACAAAGAGUGGUACAUAGGAACAAAAUCAGACCACGUUGACAAAGACCUCAUUGCAAUCCAACCCCCUGUUGAGAUAACUCGAGUGCCACGAUCUGUGGCAGACAGAAGCUAUUGGAAAGCAUAGGAGUGGAAGUCAUUCCUCUUAUUCUAUGCUUUGCCUAUAUUAAAUGGGGUUUUACUAAAGACAUUUUGGAACCAUCUUUUCCUUUUAGUGUUUGCUAUGCACAUUCUUUUGGGAGAAAAUGUGAAGCGCUGUGAUAUUGAUGUAGCAGAAAGAGCUCUCAAAAAGUUCACUAUGCAGUUUGAGAAGUUAUAUGGUACAGCAAAUAUGUCAUUCAAUGUUCAUCUACUGACACACAUUGCGACAAUAGUUAGGAACUGGGAGCCUCUGUGGGCCCCAUCAACUUUUUCCUUUGAAUCAUUUAAUGGCACUCUGUUACAUUACUUCCAUGGAACGACACAUGUUCCUGAUCAAACAGUAAAAAGAUUUCUUUGCUGGAGAAGUCUAAUAUAAAAAUCUGAGAAGUAUAUGGCAGAUGCUAAUGAUGGGGUUAAAUACAUUUUCUUUGAUCUCCUAAACAGCAAUUCAUCAACUUCUAAUUAAACUAGUCUAAAUUAAAUUGCCAGGGUUUUUGGAAAUUUUGUGAUGGCAAACUGUCAGAGUUACAAAGACUUGCUAUCAAAGACUUGCUGGGUGUUGCAGUCAGAAACUGUGUAUCGCUUCAUUGUCAGAGGCAUACUCUAUCAUUCUAGCUGCAACAUAAAUCUAAAAAAAAGGAUCAGUGGUAUAACAGGAUGGAA